AUACCGAGAGUGCAAGCGUUAAUCGGAAUUACUGGGCGUAAAGCGCGCGUAGGUGGAUAUUUAAGUCGGAUGUGAAAUCCCUGGGCUCAACCUAGGAACUGCAUCCGAUACUGGGCAUCUAGAGUAUAGUAGAGGGAAGUGGAAUUUCCGGUGUAGCGGUGAAAUGCGUAGAUAUCGGAAGGAACACCAGUGGCGAAGGCGGCUUCCUGGACUAAUACUGACACUGAGGUGCGAAAGCGUGGGGAGCAAACAGGAUUAGAGACCCGAGUAGUCC
This 274-nucleotide ribosomal RNA is filed under the name uncultured bacterium. RNAcentral describes it as "partial 16S ribosomal RNA". It matches the Rfam family "Bacterial small subunit ribosomal RNA", at positions 523 to 796 of the family's 1533-position model. The record is from RNAcentral.